Molecule: ribosomal RNA, 965 nt
Filed under: Pseudomonas syringae
Lineage: Bacteria; Pseudomonadati; Pseudomonadota; Gammaproteobacteria; Pseudomonadales; Pseudomonadaceae
Description: bacterial SSU rRNA
Rfam family: Bacterial small subunit ribosomal RNA
Source: RNAcentral
UGCAAGUCGAGCGGCAGCACGGGUACUUGUACCUGGUGGCGAGCGGCGGACGGGUGAGUAAUGCCUAGGAAUCUGCCUGGUAGUGGGGGAUAACGCUCGGAAACGGACGCUAAUACCGCAUACGUCCUACGGGAGAAAGCAGGGGACCUUCGGGCCUUGCGCUAUCAGAUGAGCCUAGGUCGGAUUAGCUAGUUGGUGAGGUAAUGGCUCACCAAGGCGACGAUCCGUAACUGGUCUGAGAGGAUGAUCAGUCACACUGGAACUGAGACACGGUCCAGACUCCUACGGGAGGCAGCAGUGGGGAAUAUUGGACAAUGGGCGAAAGCCUGAUCCAGCCAUGCCGCGUGUGUGAAGAAGGUCUUCGGAUUGUAAAGCACUUUAAGUUGGGAGGAAGGGCAGUUACCUAAUACGUGAUUGUUUUGACGUUACCGACAGAAUAAGCACCGGCUAACUCUGUGCCAGCAGCCGCGGUAAUACAGAGGGUGCAAGCGUUAAUCGGAAUUACUGGGCGUAAAGCGCGCGUAGGUGGUUUGUUAAGUUGAAUGUGAAAUCCCCGGGCUCAACCUGGGAACUGCAUCCAAAACUGGCAAGCUAGAGUAUGGUAGAGGGUGGUGGAAUUUCCUGUGUAGCGGUGAAAUGCGUAGAUAUAGGAAGGAACACCAGUGGCGAAGGCGACCACCUGGACUGAUACUGACACUGAGGUGCGAAAGCGUGGGGAGCAAACAGGAUUAGAUACCCUGGUAGUCCACGCCGUAAACGAUGUCAACUAGCCGUUGGGAGCCUUGAGCUCUUAGUGGCGCAGCUAACGCAUUAAGUUGACCGCCUGGGGAGUACGGCCGCAAGGUUAAAACUCAAAUGAAUUGACGGGGGCCCGCACAAGCGGUGGAGCAUGUGGUUAAUUCGAAGCAACGCGAAGACCUUACCAGGCCUUGACUCCAAUGAACUUUCCAGAGAUGGAUGGGUGC